UCAUGAAACCACAUUUAGAUCCACUGAACCAAAUCCCCCACACUCAUAGAAUCAGUCACCGCUUGUGUUUUGUGAGUUCGCGAUACCAGAACCUCUCAACAAGGCGGAGAAGAGGAACAGAUUCCGUGACGGAUGUUGGACUUGUCUGCUGGCGCGGUGUGAAGUUGACGUUACCUCUUCCACAGUUGACGUUCCUUCAGUGACAACAUUUUAUUGUGCUGCAUCCGUUUCCUCCACUAUCAUCUGCUUAAUGGAAUCGAAAAAGGAGUUCACCCGAUACGCAGCCUUCAGGUGAAGAGUCCGUCCUCCAGCCUGCAGGCGACCGCUGCUCUGCCCUCACAUCUAAACCUGCGGAGCUGAAACUGUCUGUAAAUCUUCUCCAUUACGGCUCAAGGCUGUUGAACCUUUUACACCAUUAAGAGGAUCAGGAAAGACUUCCAGCAUGCACUGUUUCUCUACAACACUUUGAGAAACACCAAGCAGGCUUUUACUACAAAACAUGUUUCGUUUAAACCACUAAACAUGAGCAGCCAUUAAAAAAAACCCGACAUUGUUUAAAACUAGAAUAGCACUCAGUCGAGCACUUUCCUCCGCCAAGGCCGAACGGUUGAAUUCAAUCAAAGUUGCACACACUCACAGAACCAGUCAGUAAACGUGACAAUUUUUUUCUGUGAAGUCAGUGAACAUGUCAAAAAGAAAGAGAUGAAAACUUCCUGGCUCCGCCCCCUUCAUCCAGAUCCUCACCAACAUGUCGUGGAUUCCGCGUUCCAUCCUUCACCAAGUUUCAUGGAAAUCCGUUCUGACAACACAAAAACCAACCAACCAACCCUAGGACAGGGGUGACCCCAUUUUUUUUUUAAAGCUCCGCCUCCUUGGCGGCGUUACUGCCACUGUCUAAAACUGGUCUCAUCAGAUCAAGUAGAGCAUCGAUGAGGAAAAGCAUAAGUUGUCACUUUGGACAGUGUUGAUUGUGGGCCGGAGGUUUGGAACCAGCCCUGGAGCUGUUACAUGUGAAUUGUCUUCAUAACAUAUUCUACAUGACUUCAUUCGAAAGCUUCUCCGUCAGUUUUCUCUGCUUUUGCUGCGAUCCGUCCUCGGAGCAGCAGACUCUGGACACUACGGUGACCAGACGGGCCGCGGCUAGCUGGUUAGCAUGCUAACAUCGGUAGAAGCAAAGAAGUGAUAGAAAGUGAACACUGGUUUUCGCCGCUGGAGACAGAAGUUUGAUGCCGAACUCGGCGUUUCUUGCAGAUUGCAGCAGACUGACGGCAGCGAUGUACUCGACAAAGUCGAUGUAACCGUCCUGCAGACAGAGGGGAAGGUCGGAGGUUAAACCCUGGAUCGGUUCCACUGAGGAUCAACCUCAACCUCAAGGUCUCUGAAGUCGACAUCAUGGGUUUGAACAGAUUUUAGUUAUUAUUCCAUCAAUGCACAUCUGUUCUGCAUCGUUUAAUCAGUAAAAUAAAAGUUUUCAUAUGGAA
Scophthalmus maximus (turbot) is the source of this 1481-nucleotide long non-coding RNA. RefSeq lists it as uncharacterized. Lineage: Eukaryota; Metazoa; Chordata; Actinopteri; Pleuronectiformes; Scophthalmidae. The record is from RefSeq and is a predicted model, not a curated record. The transcript is spliced from 4 exons.